RNAcentral lists this microRNA precursor (137 nucleotides) under Asparagus officinalis (garden asparagus). Its description in RNAcentral is "miR393b stem-loop (aof-MIR393b)". Its record names the gene aof-MIR393b. The stretch from base 16 to 119 matches the Rfam family "mir-393 microRNA precursor family". Lineage: Eukaryota; Viridiplantae; Streptophyta; Magnoliopsida; Asparagales; Asparagaceae. The record is from miRBase by way of RNAcentral.
CUCUUCCAAGUAGCUAAUGGAGAAUUCCAAAGGGAUCGCAUUGAUCUAAUGUAUCUCCAACACUUGUGUGUUUGCUUUUUUACUUAGCAAGAUCAUGCGUUCCCUUCGGAGAUUUCCAUUUGUUGCUUCUUCUUCCU